AGUGCAUGCAUCUCUUCUGGGAACAGCAUAACGUUCCAUCUCAGCUGGUGGGAGAUGAAUGGAGCUCAGAUGGUGAGCUUUGGGGUGAAAUUUCCCAACUUUCAGGUUAUCCCUACCUACCAACGCACUACAAUCUGGGUAGGACCCAGCAGGGCGUGGAGCCAGGCAACGCAUUGUGUAGGAAUCCCAGCCAGGCAGCAGCUCCCGGAGUCUGGCAGCCCCUCCUCGUGCCCUCAGCUUCCCCAAGGAUGCCUUCGGAUGCCCAGCUCAGAAGCACACAGCCUCAUCACUAGCCUCAUCACUAA
Molecule: long non-coding RNA, 305 nt
Filed under: Homo sapiens (human)
Lineage: Eukaryota; Metazoa; Chordata; Mammalia; Primates; Hominidae
Description: HSALNT0384510
Source: RNAcentral